RNAcentral lists this ribosomal RNA (253 nucleotides) under uncultured bacterium. RNAcentral describes it as "partial 16S ribosomal RNA". It matches the Rfam family "Bacterial small subunit ribosomal RNA", at positions 524 to 776 of the family's 1533-position model. The record is from RNAcentral.
UACGGGGGGGGCAAGCGUUGUUCGGAAUUACUGGGCGUAAAGGGCUCGUAGGCGGCUAACUAAGUCCGACGUGAAAUCCCAAGGCUUAACCUUGGAACUGCGUCGGAUACUGGAUGGCUUGAAUUCGGGAGAGGGAUGCAGAAUUCCAGGUGUAGCGGUGAAAUGCGUAGAUAUCUGGAGGAAUACCGGUGGCGAAGGCGGCAUCCUGGACCGACAUUGACGCUGAUGAGCGAAAGCUAGGGGAGCAAACGGG